UUUUGUCCAAUCUCUGCUCAUCUCGGAUGCUAAGCAGAGUUGGACCUGGUUAGUACAUGAAUGGGAGACCACAAGGAAUAACAGGUGCUACAGAGC
Periophthalmus magnuspinnatus is the source of this 96-nucleotide ribosomal RNA. Lineage: Eukaryota; Metazoa; Chordata; Actinopteri; Gobiiformes; Gobiidae. The record is from Ensembl.